Daktulosphaira vitifoliae (grape phylloxera) is the source of this 319-nucleotide long non-coding RNA. RefSeq lists it as uncharacterized. The record is from RefSeq and is a predicted model, not a curated record. Lineage: Eukaryota; Metazoa; Arthropoda; Insecta; Hemiptera; Phylloxeridae. The transcript is spliced from 9 exons.
AUUGUUUUUCUUUAGUAUUGGAUUCUUCAAUUAUCACUUUGGACAAAAAUAAGGAAGAAUUGAAUAAAAUUGAUGAAGUGUCGGAGAAAAAUAAGGAAGAAUUUAAUAAAAUUGAUAAAGCUUUGGACAAAAAUAAGGAAGCUUUGGACAAAAGCAAUGAAGAAGAAUCGGAUAGUUAUGAUUGUCCAAUUUGUUUGCAAGAACUUGGCGAAGAUUUUACUGAACAUGAAUGUGGUAACAAAUAUCAUAUAGAAUGUCUUCACCGUUGGGAAGUAGAAAGCAAAUACCAUAAUUGUCCUGUUUGCCGAGAAAUAUUAUA